This 17140-nucleotide unclassified non-coding RNA is filed under the name Leishmania donovani. RNAcentral's name for it is "gene:LdHU3.26.3120(CDS-product:Fibronectin_type_I II_domain_containing_protein_putative)". The record is from RNAcentral. Lineage: Eukaryota; Euglenozoa; Kinetoplastea; Trypanosomatida; Trypanosomatidae.
CAGCCACAGAAGACGGCCUUUUCGGCUUCUUUUCUCUCUUUUAAACUGUUUUGUCUUUCCUUCUCGUCGCCAGCUCGUUCGCGUGUAUGUGGGCCAACGUGGGCGUCGCUCCUGCCUCCUGCCCCCGCCUGUGCCUGCUCCCUUAGCUGCAGAGGACUGGAUACAUCGACUUGGCACCUGGGUGCACGCAGCGCCAGCGACCUCGGCGCACACGUGGCCGAUAGUGACAGAUACACCUACACACCCUCCCACCCACCCACGAACACUGCGCCUAUGCCUUCGAGCAGCACCAUUGCAGUAGACGCCGCGGCUGCACUGCGUCAGGCGACCGUGGCAGACGCCUUUAACGUUGCAGAGACAGCAGCACCUGGGGCGGACGAUGUACAGAUAGCGCAUGCAGCUUUACCCCCCGCCCCCGCUCCCGCCGCUGCCGCCGCUGCACCUGGAAACGCGAGCGGCGCUCCUAGGCUGAGUGCACCACAGCUGAACUGCCAGGCAGCAGUGGUGCGCAUUGGUGACAUGUUUGGGGAGUUCUCGUGCAGCGUGUUCCGCGUGGGUGCUGGCAGCAACGCUUGCGGCGCCAAUAAUCCGUCUUUACACACAUCGCGGGCAGCCGCAUCUUCGCGUGCAUUUUACAAGCGUGGUGGCGCGUCCAUGCCCUCGCCGGCGGCCGCAACGCUGACGGAAAUGGCGGCGAACUGCCAGCACGACAGCCAGCACGAAGGCGCCGCCGCUGCCGCCGCCGAUGCUAUCGCCACACGAGACGUGCCGCUUGGCACGACGUCGACCGUAGCGGCUGUAGAUGGUUCAGCGACAGCAGACGUGGGCUUUCCUGUCAAUUGCGAGGCGGAGGGGGUGCCUCGGUGGGAGCUGCUCAUCUACGCGGUACUGCACGAAGAGCAGGGCGGUGGCGCCGGCGCCGCGGCGUCGUCUGGCGCUCGGAACCGGUACCGCGGUGAGCACACCAGUGCUGCUCCUCAACUCCCUGGCGAUGCGUCGACAGCAGCAGAUGGCAGCAGCGAGGAUGGCGGUGAUGACGAGUGCCCCCUGCCGGAUGGCGCCAAGUUGUACUUUCAGCAGACAAUGCCGACGACGAAGCUGUCCAAGGUGGUAAAGCUGGAGGCGGGGCGGCGUUAUACUGUGCGCGUGCGUUGCUAUAGCCGAGCCGAUGUGCGCUGGAGUGCGUGGUCGGCACCGAUACAGACCGCCACACUGUUUCCCGUCGAGACGCGCCUUGGCGAGAUCGGCUCUGACUACGUGCACUGCACUUGGGACCGCUCGGCGCAGCGCAACGAGGACGGGCUGGCGCACGAGACGGAUGCCGCGACGACGGAGUGGGCGCGCAGCAUCCCUGACUUUGAGCUACGGCUGCUGCGAGAGUCCGACAUGGCGGAGCACUACCACGGCACUUUCGAGGCCGGCUGCCGCUCUGCCACCAUACGCGACUUACAGUCUGGGACUCGCUACAUUGUUCUCAUGCGGUACCGCACCGUCAUUCGCACCAUGCGGGAGUGGACAGAGGCCACGCGGCUGAUCACGGAGAGUGCGCUGGAGGUGCGACUCAUCGCUCGCGGCGAGGACAUCUUUACUUUCUCCUGGGCCCGCGAAGCGCAGGAGGGUGCCGCGAAGGCGCCAGCGAGCAAACGCACUUCGACCACCGUUGCCAAUGACCCGCUGUUCGACGAGGCGCGCGACGACGAUGCCGCCGUCGCCGCCUUCGGCUACCUGCAGCCACGAACGGCUGUGCACGAGUACGAGCUCACCAUCGAGAGCCCCGGGCUGCGCUUUGACCCGAUCACGGUGCCCGCCUCCGUCUGCCAGUACACAAUGACAGACAUGUUCCCGAGCACAACGUACUCGGUCUGCGUGCGCGCGCUUUCGGCGGAGGGGCGGUGGAGCGGCCGCUCCGCCCCGCUCAAGCUGCGCACGGCGAUCCGUCCCGUCGUAUCGGUGGCCGUGAUUGGAGAGUCGUUCGCGUCGUUUAUGUGGUCGCGUAAGGGUGGGGAGGAGCCACACGAGUCUCAGCUGCAGUACCGCGUGCAGAGCAUGACCUCUGCGUACCACCAAGCCGAGACCGUUGACCUCGCACCGUCGUCGUCGCCGACGGGGCAUCCGCGCCGCUUGCUGCACAUCGAGCAUCUCCGCUCCGGCAGCGACUACACCGUCUCCCUCCGCAUCGCCAUCGAGGGCACAUGGGGCAUCUGGACGGAGCCACAGCGCUUCACAACCGCGCCGAGCCUCGCGCUCACGUUUCUCGAGCGCGGCGAGGACUUCCUUACGUUGAACUGGCCUUCCGCCGAUCUCGCAGCUGAGCUGAGGGAGGACGAUACCAACGGUGCAGCUGCCGAAACACUGCCAGUCUACAACAUCGUCGUCGUGAAGGUGGACGAUCUCGGUGAGCGGACGGUCGUGCUCAACGAGCGCGUCACGCGUGACCCUAGCCAGCGCGGCUUCCGCGUCAACGACCUCGAGGCUGACACAACUUACGACGUGCAGUGCCGAGCGUGGCAGCACAACCCCCUGACCGGAUUUGAGGACUGGGGGGAGAUGUCGACGCCAGUGCGAAUGCGCACGCUGCAGGCCGUCGCCCUGCACGUCUGGGAUGUCGGCGAGGAUUUCAUUCACAUCAUCUGGCGCCGCGGACUGUCGGAGGCAAGCACGGGGCCGGCAGAAACCGCUAGCGCUACCGGUGAUAACGCAGCGGCUGCGGCAGCCGAGUGGGACCACCUGAGGUACGAGGUGGUGAUGGGGUGCGUGGAGACUGGCGAGGACGCGAUACUGCAUCGCCACGUCCUUGACACGAGCUACACCUUUACUCAACUGAAACCGUCGACGACCUACACGAUCGCCGUGCGCGCGUGCGAUGAGCAUGGACAGUGGGGCUUGUGGAGCCGUGCCAAGGUCCGCACGCCCGCCUCUAUGAAGACCACAAUUCACGAGAUCGGCGAGGAUUUUGUGCGGCUGGUGUGGCAGCGGUGCGCUGCGCGGGACGACGCCGAUCUGAGCGGCGUGACGGUGGCCGAUAUGUUCGUCGCCAAGUACAGUAUUCUCGUGUACGGGCGGGAGCUACCUGGUAUGCCGGUGAUGCCGCAUACGCAGAGCGGCUACGAGGCCGGCGGCGGCCGCUCUGACAUUGCCCGAUUCGAAGUUGUGUCGAGCGAGCACACGUCGUUGCGCGUCGGCGACCUUCUGCCCGACCGCGAGUACGUUGCCGUGGUGCGGGCGGCCACGUCGAGCGGGCGGUGGGGACUGUGGAGCCGCCCGGUGCGCUUCCGCACCAACCCGCAGUUCCGCAUUCCGACACAUCAACUGACGAUUGGCGAGAACUACGUGAAGGUUGUGUGGGGCCGUGGUGAGGCAGAGGCGUCUCGGCUGGCACCCGCCGAGCGGGACGACAACAGCGAAGACGGCGAGGUGCACCUCGGCGACUGGAGCAUCACCGGGCAGGAGCUGCGCAUCAGCGGUGUGACGACCCAGUACGCGAGGCAGUACGCCCUUGGCGCGGAUGUGCGGGAGCUGAAGGUGUGUGAUCUGCUACCGGCCAGCGCCUACACGAUUCAGAUUCGAGUGCGUGGGCGUUCGGGCAGCUGGGGCCUGUGGUCCUCUCCGGUACCGAUCCUGACGCGUGGCACAAUCGCCGUCACGACGGACGAGGUGGCCGAGGACUUCAUCACGGUGCGGUGGGAGCGGCGCAAGGUCGCCAAUCCGCAUCAGUACCCCACCGGGCAUGGCGUCGUUACGUCAUAUCACCUGCGCGUCUACAACGCGUAUGAGGUGCACACGGAGACCUUCCUGGGCGACGGUGACUGCCCGUACCGCGUGACGGGGCUCAAGGCGAACACAUACUACUGCGUCGAGCUCAAGGCGAACUACAAUGACGAGGAGUGGGGUCUGUGGAGCGUGCCACUGUGGUGUCUGACAAUGCAGCCCAUGCGAAUUCAUGCCAAGCUCAUCUCAGAGGAGUUUUGCUGUCUGCAGCUCAGACGUCCCAAUCAGCAGCGCCGCCUGCCGGAGGACGACGACAACCCACCAACGGAGGAUCGCGUCCUGGCGCACGGCAGGCUGCGCCCGAUGAUUCUGCUGUGCGUCACGGCACCGGCGUUAUCCAAGGCACCAUACCACAGCGCUGCCGUCGCGCCAGAGCAGUCGAAGGCGGCACUCCUGAACGAUGCUCUGCCACCCGAUGCCACUCAUCAGCGACUCAUCUAUCAGACAGAGCUGCUGAGCAGCGCCGAGACGGUGGAGUACACAGUGCCAAACCUCAAGUGCAACACGGUGUACAGCGUGUCGGUGCGCACGAAGCUGGCAAAUGGCGAGUGGGGCAUGUGGUCCCCGUCGCUCGUUUUCGCCACGGUGCCAGCCAUGCGAAUCUCCUUCACCACCAUUGGCGAGAGCUUCGUCAGCGUGGAGUGGGUGCGGCACUCGCAGGUUGUCCCGCCGCAGAUCGCGAACCCAGAGCAGGUGGUGUUCGGCGUCGCUACGAUCACCGCCUCGCGAGUGCGGGUGCGGGAGAGCGGUGGCGCCUACCAACACACGUACACGGUGGAGGGCGCGACGAGCUCGCUGCGCAUCGACCACCUGACGCCGGCGACCACCUACAUGGUUUGUGUGCAGACCUUCAACGACAACUACGAGUGGGGUGUGUGGAGCGAGGAGCAGAAGGUGCGGACAGUGCCUGGCAUGGACAUCCACGUGCAGCACGUCUCGGAGGAUGCGCUAUGGGUGUCUUGGUCGCGCCGCACCGACCUCGACGUCGCCGGGGACGCCAACACGGUUUUCAACGUCAACAUCUCCGCCCGCGCAUAUGAGGUGUGCCUCAUCGGCGAGGGCGGCUUCACCUACAGGCAGGAGACGGACUCGACAAGUCUGUUUUUUCGCGGGCUGAUGCCGGACGCGGUGUAUACAAUUUACGUACGCGCGCUCUUCGUGCAGUCGGAGUACUGGGGACUGUGGUCGGCGCAGGCCUUUCGCACAAAGCCACGAAUGCGCGUCACGUUUGGCAACAUUGGCGAGCACUUCGUCAUGCUGGAAUGGCGCCGCCACCUGCCGAAACCGACAGACGCGGAAGUGCGACUGCUGCUGGAAGACGACAGCAACGCCGACGUGGCCCACGGCUCGGACGAGUUGCAGCAGAACGGGGUGCUACCGCCUUUGAGUGACGGCGAGUUCGGCAGAAGCGCCGUGACGGCGCUGGCGCGCGCCGUCGCGACCCGCCAGCGAUUUUCCAUCGCGGAGACAGAGGAUGUUGUGCAGCUCUACCGCUUCAAGGUCCAGCGCGUCGGCGAGGCGCACAGCCUGAUCUACAACAUUGCCCCUACCGUGAGUGGGUUCUGCCUUCAUGACCUGCAGCCCUCGUCGGAGUAUCGCGUGUGGGUGUGUGCGAAGGGGCACGAGGGUGUGUGGGGCUUCUGGAGCGAGGACUCGCGUGUGCGCACGCUGCCGCGGCUGAGACUGGAGGUGCUGAAUAUCGGCGAGGACUACGUGCGAGCAGAAUGGAGGCGAGGGGCGUGGGAGGGGGCGUGCAUGGCGGAUGGCGAUGGUGCAGAGGUCCGGCAGGUCGACGGGGCUGUCAGCGGGUACGAGAUUAGGGUACUGGACGGCGCCAGCACGGUUGCCGCCACAACCACGACAACGUUCCGCGAAACCGCCGCCACGCUUUCGGGUCUUCGACUUUCAACACUCUACACGAUCCAGGUGCGGGCCAAGGACACGUACGACGCGUGGGGGCUCUGGAGUGACCCGGUGCCGUUCUACACGUUAAAGCCCGUCGGCGUGAGGCUGCAGCGCGUCGGUGAGACGUUUGUGGACGCGCAGUGGUCGCGUCAGAUGCACCGCCUGCACCCGCAGCACGCGCACGACGAGGUGGCCGAGGCGGGCAGCGACGUGGCAGGGAUGCAGAUGGACGAGAAGGGCGUGCUGCACCCCGAUGAGCGCGUGACGCGUUGGCACUUGCGUGUGUCGUGCAAUCGCGUCUUUGCCGGCAUGCCGCAGACAGACGACUACCGCGAGCUGUACACUGAGGAAGGGGAGCAGGCGCUCCGCAUCGACGGGCUGCUGCCUCACGCCACCUACUCCAUUGCCGUGCGCGGCCUCAACAAUGGCGGUGACUGGGGCCAUUGGAGCCCGGCGGCCGAGGUGACCACGUGCCCGCUGCUGAAAGUCGGAGUGGAGGUGGCUGGGGAGACCUUCCUGCAGCUUGCGUGGCGACGGCCAGCAACGCGGAGCGGACUGGCGACGACGACAGCGGUGGACCAACACGACGACAAGGGCAGCGCUGACGUGAGUGUACCAGGCAGCGAUGGCGGCGUGGAUGACAGCACGCACAGCGAGGUGCAGCUCGUUGAGAACACGUCGCAUGUGUUGAGCACGGCCGUUUCCCACGCCGGCGCAUCGCAUGGCGAGAACGGUGACGACGAGGGUGAGUAUUCCGCGCUACCGUUCUUCCACAGCACGCCGCUUGGGACGUACCUGUGCUUUCCAUCCGACUCAGGGGUGCACAACUUCCAAGUAACGAUCCGCCCGAUGCCGACGGAGUUGGCGUUUGACGAGACGGACGAGCCGCUCGUCGACGGCGCGCGCGUGUAUGAGACAACGCAGCCGGCGCUGCGCCUCGGCAAUCUUUUGCCGGGAACUCGCUACGCCAUAUCGGUGCGAGAGCAGCAGGUGGAUGAAGAGGGUUGCCUUGUCGCGGGCGAGUGGGGCGCACCUUCAGAGGUGGUCUGCACGCAGACGGUGCCCCCGAUGCAGGUAACUACGCAGGAGAUUGGUGAGGACUACUGUAUGGUGGAGUGGCGCCGCGCCGCUGAGGCGCCUGCCGCGGACAACUUCGCGCACGGUGCACCUUCCAUGUCAGCGGAGGGCCGGACCACGGCGGCGGCAGCGAUGCUGACCACCGCUGCCUGGACGAUGGCUUGCUACAAGUCUGUCGAGUUCGAACUGCAAACGCGCCGCCUGAACAUGGACGGGACGUCGCUGCGCGACGACCCUCUCGCCCUGGACUCCGUCGUCUCGCUGCCGAGCAGCGUCAGCACGCACCACAUAUCGGGUCUCGUCCCCAGCAGUGUCUAUGAGGUCCGCGUGCGGGCGAAGAUAGAGAACGCGCAUUGGGGGAUGUGGAGCCCGGCGACGCGCUUCGUGACGCAGAGCCGGGUCGAACUGCACGUCGAUCAAGUGCAGGAGGUGGCGGUGCUUGUCUCAUGGUGCCGCCCGCGUGCAACGCACACGCGCAGCGGCACCAUCAACCACGUGCAGGCCGAGAAGCGCGAGUGGUGCCUGGCAACGGGGUCUGCGGAGAACCAGGAGGACUUAGACAACGAGGAUGCAGCCGAAGAGCAGGUGGAGUUGUCCGGCUCCGAAGUGGCACGUCCCGCGACGACAGCAGGGAUUUUCGGCUCGCAGGUGAUUCAGGCGGACUAUGCAGUGCACGAGUACGAACUCAUCCUUGAAGGAAUCAGCGUCGACGAGCGGCGGCGCCUCACCUUCACGCAGGAAACCCAGUCUACCCUCAUCGAAGACCUUCAGCAGGACCAGUUGUACUGCCUUUCGAUUCGGUCUCUCAGCGAGAAGCAGCACUGGUCGCGCUUCUCGACCAAGGUCACGGUUCUGACGCUGGCCUGCGUACAGGUGCAGGUGGCGCAGCGCACGGAGUGCACCGCGCGGCUGGAGUGGUUCAGGCCGCAACCGGAUGUGGGCAAGUUUACCGAGCUGCUGGCGCGCCACCAGCGAGACGCCUUGCACCAAUGCGACGACCGCGAGCGACGCGAGCUGCUAGAGAUGAAGCGCAAGAUCCAGGAGCAGGAGAGCAAGGGGGAGCCCACGACGGCGGUGGCUGGCUGGACAAACCCGGUGACGCGCGAGGAGCACAACACUCUGCUGCGGGAGGAGGCCACACGGCACUACCAGGCUGAGCACAUCGUGGUGGGCGACGCGGACUGCACCGGCUAUGAGCUACUCGUGACACUGCAGAAGGGAGAAGUCUGCCUGCCCUUCAUCGCCGCCAUCGAGACGCUGCGACGAUGUCGGCCAGGCGGCGUGGCGACAGCGGCGAGCACGCGUGAAGGAAUGAUGGCCGCGAAGCGAAGUGUGCACGCCGGCUCGAUGAUGAACGGCGGCAACCGCGGCUUCGCCAGCGCCGGCAAUGGCAGCUUCCACGACUGCAGGCGCCACGAGCUAGUCAAGACGCCGACGUCCCCUGAUGCAGCGCCCACGGGGAGUCUGCCUGCCAGCACCGACUCUGUCACCCUGCUUAACGUGCAGCUGCGUUCGUGCGUGUCGCAGGUCCUUCUGCAGGGGCUGAGCCCCGACGCCGUCUUCUCGGCGCAGGUCCGCGCGCGCGGUGUGCCGGACUCGUGGCAGCCGUGGAGCCGACCUGCCGUGAUAGAGACGCUGCCUUUGCUACAGCUCGACCAGAGCCGCUUCGGUGAGCACUACAUUAACCUGUACUGGUACCGCGGUGACCCGGGCACGAUGGAUGCGGUGUCGCAGGAGGCGGAAGAGUUCCGACGACUCCAGCGCGAGUUCCACAACUUCACCGAGCGCGGCCUGGAAGAGCAGCGGAGCGUUCUGGGGGCGGCGGCGUACGCGUCACUUGUGAACCGUCUGCGCCGGCUGCGCAUGCUGCGGCGACUCUCCGCGGCUCGCGCGAAGCAGCAUGCGGAUGGCGAGAUGGGGCUGCUGGUGGACCCCUCGUGCCCUGUGCAGGGCUUCCAACUGCGCGUCAUUGAUGAGGUGGGCACCAUCUCGGAGAACUACCUGCCCAACAACCAAUACCACGACCUCACCGCCCCGCCGACGCUUAGCUUUACCGCGACGGGGCUGCAUCCGAACAGCUUGUACGUGUGCUGCCUGUGUCCGUACUACGGCGACGACGUGUGGGGGUGCUGGACGGCGCCGCUCAAGUUCAUGACACAUCACAUCAUUCAGCUCGAAAUGACGUACAUCAGCGAGACCUUCGUUGACCUGCAGUGGUGGCGGCUGGACAACAAGCCGACUUCUCCGCUGGACGAGCACGAUACCCUGCUAAGUAGCCGCUACACAGAGGAGGUGCAGGUAUACCAGCUCCGCAUCACGCACGAAGACGCCGUAACAGGCCAAGAGGUGGAGGAGUUCCGCAAUAUGCGGGCCUGCAACGUGCUGCGGAUCGAUGCCUUGCUGCCCGACAUGAAGUACACCAUCGCCGUGAGGGAGUGGGAUCCAAAGGGCGAUUGGGGCUUGUGGUCGGCCGCGUGCUCGUGCGUCACAUUACCCAGCAUCGAAACGACCGUGACGGAUGUGAAGGAGAGCAGCGCGAGGGUGUCAUGGCGUCGCAUGACGCCGCGAAUCGACUACGAGAACGACAUGCACGUGCUCGAGGACAACUCCGAGAUAACCGGGUUCUACCUGCGACUGGAGGAGGUGCCACUGCGCACGAACUCUGCCGCGGUGUCACCAACGGUGAGGGCUACGUCAGCCCACCGCUCGUCUUCGCCGACGGGCGUCUCUGACCCGUGCUCUGACGGCGUAGAGGUGCUGUCGAUGAGCAUGGGUGACGUCGGGAUGCCGAACAACUCCUUCCACGACGCCACAGGCACGCCUUUAGAAGAGAAGCCGCGGGCCGCCGAAGCUGACGAGCUUGAAGGCACGCUGGCGUUCGGCUUCCAACGCGGCGGCCCUCUGCCACCGGAGGCGCAUCCGCAGCUGCACGACGGGCUUGUGCCCGACAGCGUUGACGACAGCGGCGAAGCGGCCCGGCUGUCACAUGGUCAGUGCCAGCACUACCUGCUCGUGAAGCGGAUCACUUCCAGCACGGAGCUGGAGUCCCACCUCAGCGAUCUGCAUCCCCAGACGGUCUACCGGGUGCAGGUGAUGGCAGAAACGACAGGCGGGCAGGUGGGGCCGUGGUCGCCGCCGCACUUCUUCAUCACCACGCCGCAGCUGCGCCUCUCCGCCGACCUCAUUGAUGAGCACUACGUCUCACUGCAGUGGGGGCGGCGGCCGCUGGCCCCGCUAGCGGCUCAGAUUGGUGGUCGCGGGGUCACCAGCACCAGCGGCGUAGCUGGGUUCUUUUCGGAAAGCAAUACCUUUGAAAGCAUGGAGGGAGGCGGGAACGCGGCGGCGGCUGCAGGCGUGCUGGUGACGCUGCCGACUUCGAAGGUGCUUCACUACGAGCUGGAGGUGCGCGGCGGAGCGGGGACCGACUUCGCGUUCUGUACCCGCAUUGAGUCGGCUGCCGCAAGCGGUGCCUUUCGCGUCACGGGGCUGGCCAUGGACUCUGUGUACGUCGCGCGAGUUCGCUCCUUCAGCGACGCGGGAGAGGCCAGCUUCUGGUCGCCUGUGCUCACCUUUGUGACGCUCCGGCAGCUGGUCGUCCACCCGCAAGAGAUCACCGAGAACACAAUCGAGAUGAACUGGGCUCGCCCCGAGCAAAUCCCACAGCAGUACCUGGCCUGCGCGGCCUUCGAAACGGCGGCCGGCAUGGAGACGAACGCAGCGCUGGCUGCUGUGCCAGCGAUGUCGGAGGCGUCUGCCUCAGUCACUACGCUGGUGUUGCAGUCGGCGCCGGCUGCAAUGCGCAGCCACCGAGUGGUGUGCGUCGGCGACCGCGAAGCCGUGAAGUACCAGGUACGUGUCUAUCACGCCACGGAGCAGACGGCACCGCGGAUGCUCAUGGACAAGCACCUUAACGGCAACGUCACGAAGUUUCUGGUGCACUCGCUUGCUCCGAACAGUGUGUACCUGCUCUACGUGCGUGCCAUCAACUGCGACGGUGUGUGGAGCGAGUGGUCGGAGGGGCGCUGCGUCUACACGAUGAAGCCGUUGGUGUCCAGCAUUGCCACCGUCGGCGAAGAUUUCGUUCGUGUGCGAUGGUCCCGCGAAGCUCCAGAGGAGCUGCACUACACACUGAGCACGGCGAACACCGCCACGGCUGCAGGAGGCCACAGGCGCAGCGUCGCCGCCGCCGCGACUGACGCGGAUGGAGAGGGUGAGGAGGACGAGGCGACGGAGCACGUCGAACGCCCGCUGCCGGACGACGCUGACACUGACGCGCAGGCGAUCUCGCCGAACAAGCCAAGCACGGACUCACCAGACGUGUCACGGAUGUGGCAGCACGAGCGUCGCUUCCGUCUGCACGAUCAACCUGCCGAGGUCGGCGUUGUUUACUGCAGCGCCCUCACGUCGAUUCAGUCCUUCACCAUCUCCGUCCGCCGCUCGGAUGAGGCGGAGGGGUGCACGGUCGAGGUACCCGGGCACGUGAGCAAGCACACGCUGCCGGCGCUGCAGCCCGACUGCGUUUACCUCAUCUGCGUCCAGGCCCAGUACCGGAGCGGGGAACGCGGCCCGUGGAGCGAUGUCGUGCUUAGCGGCACCUACAACCUGUUGGCCAUGGACGUCAAGGAGGUCGGCGAGGACUACGUCUCGGCCAGCUGGCAGCGCAAGCCGAACACGAUCCACAUGGCAUCGCUGCAAAUUGGCCAGGUGGAGGAGACGGUGUGCUACGAAGUGCGGAUUCGCGAUUACACGGACGUCCCACUCGGCGAGGAGGAGGGCGGGGCGGCUCAGCACCGCGACAGCGAGGGCCGCAGCGUCUUCUUGCACGCGAAUCAGCGCCACAGCAUCCUGCGCGAGCUGCUAUCGAACCAUCGGUACCGCCUCUCUGUGCGGCGCUGGUAUCGUCCACGCGACGGCUUCGCAAAAACCGCUAUGACGACGGCCCCAGCGACAUCGACCUCGACGACGCGCAGCUCCGUCUCCAACGCUUUAGAGGGGCACAGGAGCGUUGGUGAGGACAACGACCAAGACGGAGCAGGUGAUGAGGAGCAGAAAAGGACGACAGAGGAGGUGGAGGAGAUGCCGCUGCUGCCCGCCGCGCCGACGGUGCUGCAGCUGUACGAGCAGACAACCCACACUGUGAUGGACGCGGCUCUGCGCGAGUCGAUGGAGAAGGCGAAGGCUGCCCCGGGUGUGUGGAGUGACUCCGAGUACGUCGUGACGCUGCGCGACAUGGUAUGCUCGGUGGAGCGGGUUGGCGAAGAGUACUUCCAGCUCCUCUGGGCUCGCGACCCGCGCGCUAUACCGCUGCCGGUGCGCCGUGCCAUGCCGGUGAAGCCGGUCCAGAACUACCAGCUGCGCAUCGACGAGCUGCUGCGCAACGGGUCAGGGGUGGAGACGAGCCGCGGCAGCAACACGCUGCACCUGGACGAGCUUAUGGCGCCCACAGAGACAUCGUACUUCAACAAGGCGCUAAAGCCGAACACGCUCUACAAGGUGGAGGUGCGGUGCUGCAUCGAAAAGAUGUGGGGCCGAUGGAGCCGCCCGGUGUACAUCAUCACGCAGCCGUGCCUGCAGGUGGAGGUAAGCCGCAUUGGCGAGGAGUGCGCGACAAUCGCGUGGCACAGACCCCGCGAGGGGCUCACACUGCCUGACGGUGAGGUGGCCGUGAUUGGGGACGAGGAGGAGGUGGACGGCUCGUAUCAGCUGGAGCUGUCUGGGGUAUGCUUCAACUACCAGAUAUCCAAACGCUUCAAGGCGUCGCGCACAAGCUACACAGUGAAGCACCUCGACGCGGACGCGCUCUACUCGGUGCGUGUGCGCUCCGGCGAUGGAAUUAACCAGGCUUGCAGCCUGUGGAGCGCCACAACGUGCUUCGCUACGUUGAAGCCGAUCCAGGUCGUGGUGUCAAUGCCAACCGAGCAGUUCGUCCAUGUGGAAUGGCGCCGGCCCACACAGACCGCCGAGGAGUACGCUGAGCGACUCGAGCAGCAGGCGGGGCCAGCAGCGGCGCCGUCACUGACCCUCGCUGCGAAUGCCGCCGCUGUGCAGUCGCAGCAGCAGCAAGACAGCGGCGAGGGCACCCGCAGCGAAUCAGUAUCCCCCACGGGGUCGGCGCCGCACCCGAGCGGCGCUGUGCAACUUGGCAACCCCGGCUCUCUCGCGUUCCACUUAUGCGUCUUCAACACGCAGAAGACACCGUCCGUGGCGGUGGUGGACAAGCAGUUCCACAAGGACGUGUCGCACUACCGCGUCGGUGGGCUGGUUGCCGACACACCAUACGCUAUCAUCGUUCGCGCCUGCUGCGAGGCCACCAAUGACUGGGGUCUCUGGAGCGAGGAACGCACCUUCCGCACGCUGAAGCUGCUGGCGCCGACGGUCUCGAGCGCUGGCGAGACGUACGCGGAGCUGACGUGGGAGCGGAGCGAGAGCGAUUCGCGCGGCGCCGGCGGUGGCUCUGUAGGGUCUCCCAGCGCCGCUUUAGGCGCGCCUACACUGCCGACGAAGUAUCUCCUGGUCAUCCGUUCCACGCAAGCCGGCAUACUUGAGCGCGAGAUAUCGGCCGAGGAGUGUCGUAACACGGCGACGCCGAUGCAGGAGGGAUACCUGGAUUCCUCGUACCGCCUGACCCAGCUCCAGCCGGGCACCGAGUACGUCGUCGCACUGCAGCCCUGCUACGGCGGUGGCGACUGGGGCUUGUGGUCACAAGCAGCUACCUUCACUACGUUGUAUCCGGUGAAGCUGACGGCGAAAAUCACCAAGGAUACGGUGGACCUCAGCUGGGGCCGCUGCCGCCCUUCGUCGGCCGUCGGCUUUGUGGAAGACGUCGACUUUACCGAAGCGGGGACAGUAGGACCUUGCAGUGGCAACUCCACUGGCGUGUCACAGGAGCCCGCGGCGGCCGGCACGAUGCCCGCCGGUUCCCGCUCCGUGUCACGCUACCAGCUCGUGGUGUACUCGGAGGCCGACAUGGCUGCCCUGCAUUCGUGCGCGUCAUCGAUGGAGGGCAGCUUGGCGCAGCAGCACUUCUCCAGCUUACUUUUCUUCCCAAGCACGGCACCCAGUCAGGAGGGACGCCCUGGCGAACGCAGCGCCGCUGCGGCGCCGCACCAGAGAAGCAGCCUGAAGCACCGGCAACGGCAGGAAGGGGCUGCGAUCCACACGGCUGCACGACUUCACAGCAGCCUCAGCGGCUCCCUCGACUCACUGACGAACGCCGCCCAGACGACGAUCCCAGACAUGGAUGUGGCGGCACUCGCCAACCUCGAUGGCGGCAAAGCCUUGCCUUCGCCGUCCAAGGAAUCGCUCUUCCUAAAGCAGUACGACUUGACGGAUGCAGCGGUCUCAGCGGCGCUGCACAGUCCCCACCUCCAGGGCAACAGCCCCCGCGGCGGCACUUCUGCCCUCGCCGGAACAUGGUCCUCCACAUCCUCGAUGCAUGAGCGCAUUGAGGGGCUCACACCGGACACGACGUAUGUGGCGCGCCUCCGCGCAAUGGACCUAUUCGGGAACUGGGGUACGCCAGUAGAGGUGCGGUUCGUGACACCGCCGCCGGCCCCGACGCAGGUGGUGCUGCGGCGCGUGAAUGCACAGUUUUGCUCGCUGCAGUGGUCCACUCCGGAGGGGGCCGCUGCCGAGACGGAGUCUGCCGCGCCGCGCGGAAGCUACCGCUACGUCAUUGAGCAGUGCUUUGUGCAGACCGAUCGGCCACUGUCGGCCGGCACCACCAUCAUCGGCGGCGGCGGCGGUGGCGGUGGCGCGAGUGCGCGCAAGGCUGGUGGGGCAGGCGCUUCUAGCGGGCCCGUGGCCACCCUCGCAGCGGCUGGAUGGCACGUCAUAGACACCGUCGAGGACACAAACGUCUGCGCUGUGCUGAUCAGUGGCUUACUCUCACGUAUGCGAUGUCGCGUCAAGUGUGCGCGACGCAUUGCGGCGGCGUCCGCCCACGACGCAGGCUCCGGAGCCGUCACUGCGGUGCCGGUGCCAGACGACCACCUCGGCCCGUACAGCGACUACUCGGAGGCAGUCGCGGUGUCCAGCGGCACCCCGCCGGAGGGCGUGGUGGAUCUACAUCUCACGACGCUGUCGCAGAAUGCCGCCACGCUUGAGUGGCUGCCGCCACCAAAACCGUCCGAGGCUGCUGCGGGACGCUACACCCGCCCCGUCUACCGCAUAUACCUGGCGAAUACGACAGACCAGCCGUACCCUGUGCUGCUCGCCACAGUGCACCGGCCGACGUACGUCCUGACAAACCUGACGCCGUCCACGACGUACACGGUGCAGAUCGUCGCCGAGAACCCCGACGGCGUGAGCUUCCUUAACCCGAUACUGCGUUUUCACACCAAGUCCGAGGAGGACCAGACGGUCUCGCGGCGCGGCGAAGGCGGCGAUACAAGCGGUGGGGCAGCGGAGCAGGCAGCGCCGCUGGCCGAGCUUGUACCGUUCCAUGGCCUCCGCGCUGCGCUGACCGAUGACGGCCCCGCUGCGGUGGACGGCGGCGCCGACGUCGCUGAUAUUCCUACGGCUGUGCGGCGGUCUCUGCUGCUGCCAACUCUGCCGGCGUCUCAUCGGCGACGCGGCGGACGCGGUGGUGCGGCGGGGCGGGCCCCCCGAUCGAGCUCGAAGCGGAAGGCAAUCAGUGGCUCAGGCCAUGCGAAGACGCGGGGCUCGUCUGGAGCGACCGGCAGGGGCGCAGGAAAGCACAAGUCUCGCACCCGCCGCCGCUCUUCAUCGGCCGUGGGCUCUAAGCGACUCAGCAACGCGGCGCCCGAAACAACCCGCGAGGCACCGCCGACAGCUGGCAGCUUCCUCCCUCAACUCGCUAAGACCUUGUAGCCCUCUCCCCUCCGCCCUCAGCAACCGUCGUGGAGCGUGUCGGUGCCUCUCUGUAAGUGUGUUUCAUUGUGUUGGCUCACUGCUGACGGCACGUGCGUUCGUGUCGCACUCUGCUCGACUAUCUCACGUGUGGCACGCAUACCGAUGCCCCAUGUGCGCGUUGUACUCCCUUUCUUCUUUCGUUGUGUGCCCUUCUCGGCAUACACGUUACCUCCGCUCUCCCGCGACCCGCCUUUGCCCACCAACGCUGCGGCUUCGCUUCUUUUUUUUUUCGGCUUUCUCCCACUGCCUUCGUUCAUGAAGCCCCUCCCUGGACCUCUGGCGCCUCACUCGGCCGGGCACGCGCGCAGCAUACAGAGAAGUUGUGCAGGCCACGUUAUAGCUGCACAUGCACCGUUGGAGCGGCGGCUUUCGCUGUGUUUGGUGCACCAGCUGUGGUCGACUGAUGAGUGGGAUGUGGAGAGAUGCUUGACUUCUAUUUUUUUUUUUUCGCUUUGGACGUUGUAUCAUCCUCCAGCGCGUGCUGGCAGCCAUUUGUGCAUGCAUGUCGGGGAUACACGUGCACACUACUCAUGCGCGACUCUUGUUGAGACGGCUCGCCUUCUGGCAGAGGCGAUCCGUGGGCGUGGGUCCUCGUGCGUGUGCGUGUGGUGUGCAGGCCUGUGCACCGCAGACGUUGAACUACUCCACUUUUCUUUGUGCGACCAGCUACGGCGUGCCCUCCGCCUCCUCACGCGCUUCUCCUUACACAGACACCUGACGCACGCGUGGGGGAGGGGGCGGGGAGGAGCUGCGUUGGAUGGACUUCCCCUUCUUUUCCCUUUCCCUUUGUUUCUCUCGGUGCAGUCCGAGUGAUGUACAUUGACUGGUAUGAUGAUCCACCGCGAGGUGGAACGCAUCGCCGUGCACACGGCACGCCGCUGUCACGAUCGCCCGCACUACUAGCGCUACCCGUGCGCUGGCACGGAAAUGUGGGUGUGGGGCUCCGCGCCUUUUCCCUUUUUAUGUGUUUUUCUCUUUUUGUGUCUCCCCCCGCCUGGCACUGUGUCUGUGAUGACGAUGAUGCGUGAGGUAUGUGUGGGGGUGGGGGUGGGUGGGAGACGUGCGCGCGUGCGUGCGCCCUUCCACUUCCCUUUGAACGCUCACGCCGAGUCGCUCUUUGCUUUCGUUUCUUCGCGCUCCCUCGUGGCACGACGUGCACAGACAUCCAUACAUCUCCCACUCUCUCUCUAUGUCGGUGUGCGUGUGCACACACACACACACACACAUAUAUAUAUAUAUAUAGAUGUAUGCAUGCAUACGCGCGUAUAUAACUGCAUGGCGUGUGGAUGUGAAGCCAUCUGGUUUGUCACGCCCGCAGGUGGGCUUGUGUGUGCCUGCGUGCGUGUGCACGUGAGUGUCGUUUGCCAUUAUCGUUUAGUGACGCCGAUCGAUGCCCCCCCCUCUCCCCCUCUUCUCUCGGGCGUUUGCUUUGGCUUUGUUCGAUGUCCGUCAUGUACAGCGUAGAUUUCGUCCGUGUCUUUUGAACUCGCCACCCUCUCCCCCCGAAGCUCGCAAG